GACGAACGCUGGCGGCGUGCUUAACACAUGCAAGUCGAACGGAAAGGCCCUGCUUUUGUGGGGUGCUCGAGUGGCGAACGGGUGAGUAACACGUGAGUAACCUGCCCUUGACUUUGGGAUAACUUCAGGAAACUGGGGCUAAUACCGGAUAGGAGCUCCUGCUGCAUGGUGGUGGUUGGAAAGUUUCGGCGGUUGGGGAUGGACUCGCGGCUUAUCAGCUUGUUGGUGGGGUAGUGGAUUACCAAGGCUUCGACGGGUAGCCGGCAUGAGAGGGUGACCGGCCACAUUGGGACUGAGAGACGGCCCAGACUCCUACGGGAGGCAGCGGUGGGGAAUAUUGCACAAUGGGCGGAAGCCUGAUGCGGAAACGCCGCGUGCGGGAUGACGGCCUUCGGGUUGUAAACCGCUUUCGCCUGUGACGAAGCGUGAGUGACGGUAAUGGGUAAAGAAGCACCGGCUAACUACGUG
This 468-nucleotide ribosomal RNA is filed under the name uncultured bacterium. RNAcentral's name for it is "partial 16S ribosomal RNA". It matches the Rfam family "Bacterial small subunit ribosomal RNA", at positions 28 to 507 of the family's 1533-position model. The record is from RNAcentral.